AACGAACGCUGGCGGCAUGCCUAACACAUGCAAGUCGAACGAACCCUUCGGGGUUAGUGGCGCACGGGUGCGUAACGCGUGGGAAUCUGCCCUUUGCUUCGGAAUAACUCAGGGAAACUUGUGCUAAUACCGGAUGAUGUCUUCGGACCAAAGAUUUAUCGGCAAGGGAUGAGCCCGCGUAGGAUUAGGUAGUUGGUGGGGUAAAGGCCUACCAAGCCGACGAUCCUUAGCUGGCCUGAGAGGAUGAUCAGCCACACUGGGACUGAGACACGGCCCAGACUCCUACGGGAGGCAGCAGUGGGGAAUAUUGGACAAUGGGCGCAAGCCUGAUCCAGCAAUGCCGCGUGAGUGAUGAAGGCCCUCGGGUCGUAAAGCUCUUUUACCAGGGAUGAUAAUGACAGUACCUGGAGAAUAAGCUCCGGCUAACUCCGUG
Molecule: ribosomal RNA, 433 nt
Filed under: uncultured bacterium
Lineage: Bacteria
Description: partial 16S ribosomal RNA
Rfam family: Bacterial small subunit ribosomal RNA
Source: RNAcentral